Molecule: ribosomal RNA, 1675 nt
Filed under: Microbacterium aurantiacum
Lineage: Bacteria; Bacillati; Actinomycetota; Actinomycetes; Micrococcales; Microbacteriaceae
Description: partial 16S ribosomal RNA
Rfam family: Bacterial small subunit ribosomal RNA (bases 1-1395)
Source: RNAcentral
GUCAGUUAGGGGCAGCUUACACAUGCAGUCGAACGGUGAAGCCAAGCUUGCUUGGUGGAUCAGUGGCGAACGGGUGAGUAACACGUGAGCAACCUGCCCUGAACUCUGGGAUAAGCGCUGGAAACGGCGUCUAAUACUGGAUAUGAGCUGCGGAGGCAUCUUCGUGGUUGGAAAGAUUUUUCGGUUUGGGAUGGGCUCGCGGCCUAUCAGCUUGUUGGUGAGGUAAUGGCUCACCAAGGCGUCGACGGGUAGCCGGCCUGAGAGGGUGACCGGCCACACUGGGACUGAGACACGGCCCAGACUCCUACGGGAGGCAGCAGUGGGGAAUAUUGCACAAUGGGCGGAAGCCUGAUGCAGCAACGCCGCGUGAGGGAUGACGGCCUUCGGGUUGUAAACCUCUUUUAGCAGGGAAGAAGCGAAAGUGACGGUACCUGCAGAAAAAGCGCCGGCUAACUACGUGCCAGCAGCCGCGGUAAUACGUAGGGCGCAAGCGUUAUCCGGAAUUAUUGGGCGUAAAGAGCUCGUAGGCGGUUUGUCGCGUCUGCUGUGAAAUCUGGGGGCUCAACCCCCAGCCUGCAGUGGGUACGGGCAGACUAGAGUGCGGUAGGGGAGAUUGGAAUUCCUGGUGUAGCGGUGGAAUGCGCAGAUAUCAGGAGGAACACCGAUGGCGAAGGCAGAUCUCUGGGCCGUAACUGACGCUGAGGAGCGAAAGGGUGGGGAGCAAACAGGCUUAGAUACCCUGGUAGUCCACCCCGUAAACGUUGGGAACUAGUUGUGGGGUCCAUUCCACGGAUUCCGUGACGCAGCUAACGCAUUAAGUUCCCCGCCUGGGGAGUACGGCCGCAAGGCUAAAACUCAAAGGAAUUGACGGGGGACCCGCACAAGCGGCGGAGCAUGGCGGAUUAAUUCCGAUGCAACGCGAAAAAACCUUACCAAGGCUUGACAUACACCGAGAAACGUUGCAGAAAUGGAAAACUCUUUUGGAACCUCCUUGAACAAGGGGGGGCAAGGGUUGCCUCCACCUCCGGGUCCUGGAAAAUGUUGGGGUUAAAGUCCCCGCAAACAGAGCGCAACCCUCCGUUUCUAGGUUGCCAAGCCCCGUAAAUGUGGGGGAAACUCUUGGGGAUAAUUGGCCGGGGGUCCAAUUCCGGAAGGAAAGGUGGGGGGAUAGACGUCCAAAACCCCCAUGGCCCCCUUUAAGGCUUUGGGGGUUCCCCCCCAAGGGUCAAAAAUGGGCCGGGGUAAAAAAGGGUUCGGGAAAACCCCCGCGGGGUUGGAGACGAAAUUCCCCAAAAAAACCGGGGUCCCCACCUUUUCCUGAAUAUAAAGGGUUCGGGCGACUCCCCGCACCCCUUCGGGAGGGAGGGGGGAGGUCCUCUCAUAAAAACUCCCCAACAGAAUACAAACAAACUCGGUCGGUGGUGGAUAAAAAUAUUCUCCCCCCGGGGGGUUUUUUGUAAAAAACCCCCCCGCGCCCCCGAAAAAAUUUGGAAAAAGGGAGACGGGUAGGACAACCUCCCAGAAAACGGGGGGGGGGGCACCCCCCCCCCUCUUUUUUUGGGGGGGGAGGGGGUCCCCCCUCAAAAAAUGGGAGGGCUUUAAUAGGGAAAAUUUUUUUUAAAGGCCUAUAUAAGAGGGCUCAUUUCAAACUGCAAAAUGUUUAACAAUACACUUU